GCAGGCUGCAACCCGCCUGCGUGAAGUCGGAAUCGCUAGUAAUCGCGGAUCAGCAUGCCGCGGUGAAUACGUUCCCGGGCCUUGUACACACCGCCCGUCACACCAUGAGAGUCGGGAACACCCGAAGUCCGUAGCCUAACCGCAAGGAGGGCGCGGCCGAAGGUGGGUUCGAUAAUUGGGGUGAAGUCGUAACAAGGUAAC
Molecule: ribosomal RNA, 201 nt
Filed under: uncultured bacterium
Lineage: Bacteria
Description: partial 16S ribosomal RNA
Rfam family: Bacterial small subunit ribosomal RNA
Source: RNAcentral